GAGCGAGCGGCGGGUGUCCCUGAGAGGCCACCUUUCGACCUUCGAGGGCCAGGAGGAUACGGGGAGGUGGCCGGAGGGAGUUCCCGAACACAGGUCUUCCUGUUCCCGCCGAGCAGGUGUUGGCGGUGCCAGGCCCGGCCUGGCGGGCCCGGGCUGGCAGCCAAAUACCCAGCGUCUGUGCUCGGGACGGGAGUGUUCGUCCAGGACGUGCAGCUCCGGAGCCUGCGCGGGCGACCUUGACCACCUUUGUCGGCUGUUUCCCCCUGAGGGAAGUAUACCUGUCCUGCCAGCCUUGGUCUCUGGCAGGGAAGGUCCUUCCAACAGAGAGGGAAUUGCUUAGAAUUGACUCAACACUGCCUCCUUGCUGAAUGGAUAAUUCAAGCAAACAACUCAAGAGCUGGAUGCUGCCCAGACAGAAGUCCUCCUAGCAUCUUUCUUCUGCCUUCCCCUGCUCCUGUCCCUGAAACCUUUUCUUCAAAAGAAGUGGAAAAGAGGAACUGGGAACCCAUAUAGCAACAGCAUCACCUGGAAUGAAUUCCUUUAGAACAUACUGUCUUGGAAAUCUGAAGCCUGCAGGGCUGGACAGGCAAGAAGAGCAGUGAGCACUGCAUGAACCUAGUCUUGCUGUGUCGCCCAAGCUGGAGUUCAGUGGCACCAUCCUGGCUCACUGCAACUGCUGCCUCCCAGGUUCAAGUGAUUCUCCUGCCUCAGCCUCCCGAGUAGCUGGGAUUACAUGUGCCUGCCACCACGCCUGGCAAGUUUUUGUAUUUUUAGUAGAAAUGGUGUUUUACCAUGUUGGCCAAGACUGGCCUAGAACUCCAGACCUCAAGUGAUCCACCCGCCUCAGCAGCCCAAAGUGGUGGGAUUACAGGCAUGAGCAACUGUGCCUGGCCUAGCCAUUUUCUAUAAACCUGAAAAUAGAUGCCAGAAAAGAAGGUGCCGCUAUAAAAUGCUUUCUUGAGUGAUUUAUGUCUAACAUACAAUUAAACAUUUAUGAGAAGGAAAUUAUCAGGUUAAAAUAUAAACUCACUUGCCAAUUAUUUGAUUUUCAGGAUAUCUGACUUUUGUUAAUUACUGAAAAUAAAGUAUUAUUUCUAAUCAC
This 1102-nucleotide long non-coding RNA is filed under the name Homo sapiens (human). RNAcentral's name for it is "GOT1 divergent transcript, transcript variant 6 (GOT1-DT)". Lineage: Eukaryota; Metazoa; Chordata; Mammalia; Primates; Hominidae. The record is from RNAcentral.